GCGGGAGUGGUGGAACUGGUAGACACGCAGGACUUAGGAUCCUGUGCUUCGGCGUGCGGGUUCGAGUCCCGUCUUCCGCA
This 80-nucleotide transfer RNA is filed under the name Actinomycetota bacterium. Its description in RNAcentral is "tRNA-Leu". It matches the Rfam family "tRNA". Rfam says of the family: Transfer RNA (tRNA) molecules are approximately 80 nucleotides in length. Lineage: Bacteria; Bacillati; Actinomycetota. The record is from RNAcentral.